Molecule: ribosomal RNA, 256 nt
Filed under: uncultured bacterium
Lineage: Bacteria
Description: partial 16S ribosomal RNA
Rfam family: Bacterial small subunit ribosomal RNA
Source: RNAcentral
GUCCGCACCGUAAACGAUGAUUACUCGUUGUUGGCAAUAUGACCGUCAGCGACCAAGCGAAAGCGAUAAGUAAUCCACCUGGGGAGUACGCCGGCAACGGUGAAACUCAAAGGAAUUGACGGGGCCCGCACAAGCGGAGGAGCAUGUGGUUUAAUUCGAUGAUACGCGAGGAACCUUACCUGGGCUUGAAAGUUAGUGACCGGUUCUGAAAGGACUUUUCCGCAAGGACACGAACUAGGUGCUGCAUGGCUGUCGU